UGAUGAGGCAUCACCAGAAGGGCAGGCCGAACCUGAGGCUGGCCGCUGAGCACGCUGACAGCCCAGGAGAGGAGGAAAAAAGCCUGAGCCCCCCCCCAUCGGGUGCACCCCAAGGCCGCUGGCAGGCUGCGUGCCCGUGGUGCUGCCGGCUGACAAGCCCGGAUCCCGCACUGCUCAGGGGGAGAGCUGCCAGCGCUGCCUGCCCGCCUCUCCCCAGGUCCUAGCGCUCUGCCCGCCGCACCAAGGACACCCGGCUGCAGGACAGCCCCCAGCCCCCGCGCGGGGAUGCCCCAUGCCCUCCUGGGGACAAAGUCCUUGUGAAGUGGGGGGCCCUGCCCUAUAGGCAUCGCCUUGCAGACCCAGAUCCCCCCGGCCCUUUCCCUUCCAGCCGCAGCACGGCCGGGAGCCGCAUCGUCCUUGUCACCAGAUCCCCAGAUCCCCGUUCAGCCCCGGGGCAGAGGGACGGGGCGGUGGGUGACAGAGCUCGGCACAGGCCCCCGGCUGCGGGGUGACCUUGCACGUGGGUCCUUGUGGCGGCUUCUCAGAGCCACGUCCCCUCCCCAGCCCCCAAGCCAGCGCCUUUCCCUCUCGCCACCCUGCCCGUUACCUCCAGGGCUCAGCUCCCCGCUGCCGCCUUGCCCGGUGCCGGGGAUCCUCCGGUGGAGGGAGGACGGGGGCUGCGGAGCCCCUCACCGUGCCACGAGCUCCUCAGCCGGGCGCUGGCUGCGAGCGGCUCCGCAGGGCUCCCGCUGGCUCAGCAAGUGGAGGCUGCGUGCACGCGGGGAUUAGCGGGGGGAAGCGGCGCCUGCCAUCGAGACCGCCAGCGGGAUUCGUCAGCGGGGCCCGGCGCCAGGGCGAGGAAGGGGAGAGGGGGAGGGGGAGGUGCCCUCCUGCAGCGUGGGUGCAGGGGACGGUGCCCUCCUGCGAUGCCCCGCUGCACGGGGAGCGUGCCGUGGGCUCUGCCUGGGGUCACAAGGUGCCCCCGUCCCCUCUCCGUUUUACACGUCUCGUCUCACGCCGCCGUGCCGGACUUGGGCCAGCGUGGGACACUUUGGGCAAGUCGGUGGCUCUGGGUGUCACGCACCCCAAGCAGUGAGGGGGGACGAGCCCUCCGUGCAGCCCCAGCCCCGCUGCCCCUCCACCGGGCCCCUCAGCAGCUCAGGAAUGAGCUGGCGGCUCCUGACCGAGCGGCUGCUGCGCACGGCCGGGGCUGCAAGUGCCUCCUCGCGGCACGGCCGGGGCUGGCCCCGUCCCAGGGCAUCCCCCUCAGCCCCGAGCGAGCCGCCCCGCUCCUCUCUUCCCAUUAAGGCAGUGUGCACGGGCCCAGCGGCGGUGCUGGAGGAAAACAGGUGACCGAGCCAAGAGACCGAGCCAAGAGAAAUCUGCGGCCCCAAAUCCCCCCAACUCCCCCCCUCCGGGAGCACGAAGCCCCUCGCUGGGUGACACCGCUGCCCCCGUCCCCAGCUGGGGGUUGCAGUGGGACACAGGGGGGUGGGAGCAGCCCCGUGCCCGCUGCUCGCGUUUCUGCGCUCGCAGCCCUCGCUGCGGAUCUGGGCGGCAGCCAGCCCGGCUAUUUUAAGCCCCAUCCUGCGCCUGCGGAGGAGAGGCUGAGCCUUGGAGCCUGCCGGGAGCGUCCUCACAGACCUGCCCUUUUUGCCCAAGGGCUGGUGCACACCCGGAUGGGGGUUUGGGCUCCCUCCCCUUCCCGGCACAGACAGGAACCAGAGUGGCUGAAACCAGCAUGGCCUGGCGAAGCUAUUGCAAAAUUUUGGGACAGGGAAGCCCCCGGGGUCUGGCCACGCUCCCUGACCGUCACCACAGCACGCAGCACGCGCCUGCCUGCGGCCAUCCUGCACCGAGCACGAGGCUCGAGGCUGAGCAAGUGAGGGAAACGGGGUCCAGGUGCCGUGAGGGACGAGCUGGGCCGGGGACAACAGGGAAAACCACAGGACCAAGCUCCUCGGGAGAUGCCGGGUGGCUCAGGCUUCCCCUCGAGCAGCACCGAGCCCGGCCACGGGAGCCCCCUCCUCUGACACGACCACCACCCACCUUCCGGAGCCCCUCUGCGGGCUGGAUGAAGAAGCUCCCAGACCGCGUGUCUAUCUGUUUUUUAAUAAAAACACCCCCGGCCCUGCC
Molecule: long non-coding RNA, 2136 nt
Organism: Cygnus olor (mute swan)
Lineage: Eukaryota; Metazoa; Chordata; Aves; Anseriformes; Anatidae
Exons: 2
Source: RefSeq, a predicted model, not a curated record